GGAAGAGGUCCAGAACAACAUAAACUGCUAAUUUAUUAUACCUUGGUUAAACUCCAGGGCUCAUCCG
Molecule: transfer RNA, 67 nt
Filed under: Uranoscopus japonicus
Lineage: Eukaryota; Metazoa; Chordata; Actinopteri; Uranoscopiformes; Uranoscopidae
Description: tRNA-Ser
Source: RNAcentral